UCAAGAACAUUUGGCAAUGGGCGAAAGCCUGACCACGCGACGCCGCGUGACUGAUGAAGUCCUUCGGGACGUAAAGGUCUUUUAUGAGGGAGGAAGUUAUUGACGUUACCUCAUGAAUAAGGGGCUCCUAACUCUGUGCCAGCAGGAGCGGUAAUACAGAGGCCCCAAGCAUUAUCCGGAAUCACUGGGCGUAAAGGGUGUGUAGGCGGUUGUAUUAGUCUUUCGUAAAAGCUCUCGGACUUAAUCCGGGAAAUGCGGAGGAAACGGUACAGCUACGAGGACGCGAGAGGUAGAGGGAACUCAUGGUGUAGGGGUGAAAUCCGUUGAUAUCAUGGGGAACACCAAAUGCGAAGGCACUCUACUGGCGCGCUCCUGACGCUGAAACACGAAAGCGUGGGAAUCGAACGGGAUUAGAUACCCGCGUAGUCC
Molecule: ribosomal RNA, 429 nt
Filed under: uncultured bacterium
Lineage: Bacteria
Description: bacterial SSU rRNA
Rfam family: Bacterial small subunit ribosomal RNA
Source: RNAcentral